CUAAAAUAGCAUACCAUCACCAAUGCACCGGAUCCCAUCAGAACUCCGAAGUUAAGCGUGCUUGGACGAGAGUAGUACUAGGAUGGGUGACCCCCCUGGGAAGUCCUCGGGUUUUCGGGU
This 120-nucleotide ribosomal RNA is filed under the name Erythranthe guttata (spotted monkey flower). Lineage: Eukaryota; Viridiplantae; Streptophyta; Magnoliopsida; Lamiales; Phrymaceae. The record is from RNAcentral.